RNAcentral lists this Y RNA (109 nucleotides) under Propithecus coquereli (Coquerel's sifaka). RNAcentral's name for it is "Y RNA (ENSPCOG00000011985.1)". It matches the Rfam family "Y RNA". Rfam says of the family: Y RNAs are components of the Ro ribonucleoprotein particle (Ro RNP), in association with Ro60 and La proteins. Lineage: Eukaryota; Metazoa; Chordata; Mammalia; Primates; Indriidae. The record is from Rfam by way of RNAcentral.
AGCUGGUCCAAAGGUAGUGAGUUAUCUUACUUGAUUGUUCCCGGUUAUAGAUCAAACUCCUUGUUCUACUCUUUCCCUCCUUCUCACUACUGCACUUGACUAGUCUUAA